Molecule: long non-coding RNA, 1507 nt
Filed under: Homo sapiens (human)
Lineage: Eukaryota; Metazoa; Chordata; Mammalia; Primates; Hominidae
Description: HSALNT0092016
Source: RNAcentral
UUUUUUUUUUAAAAAAAAUAAGUAUUUUAUUUCAGAAAUUGUCUAUGGUAAAAUGAGAAAGAAGUCAGAAAAGAAUUGGAGAGAUGUCAAACUACUAUAUAAGUCAUUACAGAAUUUUUAAAAAGGAAAGGAAAGGGUGGAUGCAAGUGAUCUGGACAGCAAGGCAAUCUAAGGAAGGUUUGGCAAGACCAUCAGACAGUCCUCAGGCCAAAGUUGCCAUUAGAGGAGUUCCCUGUCUCCCAGGACAGGGCUUCCCUUUAGCUCCCUACUGUGCUUAGUCAGUAACCAGGAGCAGCCAGUGGGAGGUGUGUGUCAGUGCAAGUGAAGCCGUGAGUUCUUGAACACAGCAUCUGUGGCCCAUGGUCCAUUAUGCUCCCUAUCUCUCAAGUUCCAUAUGGCACAUUCUCAGGACUGCCAACACAUUCUUAAGCACUACAUUAUAUUGUCCACAAGUCUAAAGUAGGGGGAAAGGACAAAGAUAAACCAGAGAGACCAGUUCCUGACACUAAGUUCUAAGACCAAGUUUAGUAAAAGUGGGCAAGAUGCAGUAGUGAAUCCGGUAUAACACAGAUUUUAGAAAUCCUUGCACAUUUCUCCAAGUGAGAAUUAGAAUUUUAAAUAAUUCCUCUUUAUAAGUCCAAAUAUGUUAUGGGUGAAAGGUAACAUACAGUUUGGAUGUAUCUCAGAUCUAAAACAUGAGCCUGCAAGAGUUUGACAUACCUGAGAAAACUGACCAUUAAGCACUCAGGAAUGUGCUGGGAAUGUCCACAGUUACUUGCAUCUAGUAAGAAGUUAGGCACAUGGCCAAGCGCGAUGGCUCACGCCUGUAAUCCCAGCACUUUGGGAGGCCGAAGUGGGCGGAUUACCUGAGGUCAGGAGUUCAAGACCAGCCCGGCCAACAUGGUGAAACCCAGUCUCUACUAAAAGUACAAAAAUUAGACGGGCACGGUAGCACACGCCUGUAAUCCCAGCUGCUUGAGAGGCUGAGGCAGGAGAAUUUCUUGAGCCUGGGAGACGGAGCUUGCAGUGAGCCAAGAUUGUGUCAUUGCACUCCAGCCUGGUGGAGAGAGCGAGCCUCUGUCUCAAAAAAAUAAAAUAAAAUAAUAAUAAUAAUAAUAAUAUACACAUAGCCAUAGACUCCAAGGCAGUUGGGAAACGUAAGAAGAAUCUAAAAAUUCCCCUGGAAGGAAUAGCAAUGGGUGUUGAAGAACCUUUUGGGACCUCCACACCAUCAGAUGAUACAUCUGCACCAGGAGGCCUUGGGGCCUUUGAAAGCAAGGGGGCUUAUUUCUCUUAAGAAGGAGAUUUUUCUCAAGUUUUUUCAAUUGCACAGUUACCUAAGCAUUGUAAGUUAUAUUAUUUACAUGCAUAUAAAAAUAUAUCUUUAAAAUGAGUCCAUUGGGAUGUUUCUGUCAAUUAUUUUCACCAUGUUACACUCCAACAACCGUGACUUUUUUUUUUUUUUUGAGAUGGAGUUUUGCUAUUGUCGCCCAGGCUGGAGGGUAAG